This 749-nucleotide ribosomal RNA is filed under the name uncultured Enterobacteriaceae bacterium. RNAcentral's name for it is "bacterial SSU rRNA". It matches the Rfam family "Bacterial small subunit ribosomal RNA", at positions 1 to 692 of the family's 1533-position model. Lineage: Bacteria; Pseudomonadati; Pseudomonadota; Gammaproteobacteria; Enterobacterales; Enterobacteriaceae. The record is from RNAcentral.
GGNGCUCUCCCAUAUGGUCGACCUGCAGGCGGCCGCGAAUUCACUAGUGAUUAGAGUUUGAUCCUGGCUCAGAUUGAACGCUGGCGGCAGGCCUAACACAUGCAAGUCGAACGGUAACAGGAAGCAGCUUGCUGCUUUGCUGACGAGUGGCGGACGGGUGAGUAAUGUCUGGGAAACUGCCUGAUGGAGGGGGAUAACUACUGGAAACGGUAGCUAAUACCGCAUAACGUCGCAAGACCAAAGAGGGGGACCUUAGGGCCUCUUGCCAUCGGAUGUGCCCAGAUGGGAUUAGCUAGUAGGUGGGGUAACGGCUCACCUAGGCGACGAUCCCUAGCUGGUCUGAGAGGAUGACCAGCCACACUGGAACUGAGACACGGUCCAGACUCCUACGGGAGGCAGCAGUGGGGAAUAUUGCACAAUGGGCGCAAGCCUGAUGCAGCCAUGCCGCGUGUAUGAAGAAGGCCUUCGGGUUGUAAAGUACUUUCAGCGGGGAGGAAGGGAGUAAAGUUAAUACCUUUGCUCAUUGACGUUACCCGCAGAAGAAGCACCGGCUAACUCCGUGCCAGCAGCCGCGGUAAUACNGAGGGUGCAAGCGUUAAUCGGAAUUACUGGGCGUAAAGCGCACGCANGCGGUUUGUUAAGUCANNUGUGAAAUCCCCGGGCUCAACCUGGGAACUNGCAUCUGAUACUGGCAAGCUUNGAGUCUCGUANAGGGGGGUAGAAUUCCAGGUGUAGCGGUGAAAUGCGUA